GAUCAUGGCUCAGGAUGAACGCUAGCUACAGGCUUAACACAUGCAAGUCGAGGGGAAACGACAUCGGAAGCUUGCUUUUGAUGGGCGUCGACCGGCGCACGGGUGAGUAACGCUUAUCCAACCUGCCCACCACUUGGGGAUAACCUUGCGAAAGUAAGACUAAUACCCAAUGACAUCCCACGAAGACAUCUGAAUGGGAUUAAAGAUUUAUCGGUGAUGGAUGGGGAUGCGUCUGAUUAG
RNAcentral lists this ribosomal RNA (240 nucleotides) under uncultured bacterium. Its description in RNAcentral is "partial 16S ribosomal RNA". It matches the Rfam family "Bacterial small subunit ribosomal RNA", at positions 15 to 244 of the family's 1533-position model. The record is from RNAcentral.